Molecule: ribosomal RNA, 229 nt
Filed under: uncultured bacterium
Lineage: Bacteria
Description: partial 16S ribosomal RNA
Rfam family: Bacterial small subunit ribosomal RNA
Source: RNAcentral
UCCGUAGGCGGAUUGAUAAGUCAGAGGUGAAAUCCCACAGCUUAACUGUGGAACUGCCUUUGAAACUGUUAGUCUUGAGUUAUAUGGAAGUAGAUAGAAUGUGUAGUGUAGCGGUGAAAUGCAUAGAGAUUACACAGAAUACCGAUUGCGAAGGCAGUCUACUACGUAUAUACUGACGCUAAUGGACGAAAGCGUGGGGAGCGAACAGGAUUAGAUACCCUGGUAGUCC